CCACCGCAACAUGCCAGGUGUUGCCAUGAUGGAAUGGAGGCAAAAGAGGAGUUGAAAGAAAGCAAUUACAGAGGAGCAGAAAAAAAGGUGCGCCUGCCUCACCCACGGCCUGCGGGGCCAGGAUCUGCGUGAAUCCUGCCGAGAACGUGAUGAGCACCACGGGGUAGCUGACCCAGGCGAUGUACUGCAGCAGCAGAUGAUUGUCCAGGCCGCCGUGCAUCCACUUCUAAGGCGAUGGCGUAGUCCAUGACCCAACUGACCAGCGCCAUGAGCAGCCCCAGUAGGAUGAGGAAGAUCCAGUCCUCUCCCAGCCGCGAGAUCAGAAACUUCUGACAGCUGGAGGCGCAUGCUGGAAUGUGGACAGAGAAAGAAAAUCUUUUUUUUUUUAAUUGGUUUGAAAUCAGCAGAAAUGAUGCAUCAUCAAUGAUUUAUUCCAAUUUGUGCCCCCAGAACAACUGUGUACUUUUUUUUUCCAUCUGGGAAUGGAUUUUCUCUUUAUGCGACAAUUCCAUUCGAAUGGCGAGUAUAAUCAUUUGUAGAA
Molecule: long non-coding RNA, 541 nt
Organism: Syngnathus acus (greater pipefish)
Lineage: Eukaryota; Metazoa; Chordata; Actinopteri; Syngnathiformes; Syngnathidae
Exons: 3
Source: RefSeq, a predicted model, not a curated record